GGCGCGGUAGCAAAGUGGCCAUGCCAGCGGAUUGCAAAUCCGCAGACCCCGGUUCGAAUCCGGGCCGCGCCUCCA
RNAcentral lists this transfer RNA (75 nucleotides) under Variovorax sp. RKNM96. RNAcentral describes it as "tRNA-Cys". It matches the Rfam family "tRNA". From Rfam's summary of the family: Transfer RNA (tRNA) molecules are approximately 80 nucleotides in length. Their secondary structure includes four short double-helical elements and three loops (D, anti-codon, and T loops). The record is from RNAcentral. Lineage: Bacteria; Pseudomonadati; Pseudomonadota; Betaproteobacteria; Burkholderiales; Comamonadaceae.